UGGGGAAUAUUGCACAAUGGGCGCAAGCCUGAUGCAGCCAUGCCGCGUGUGUGAAGAAGGCCUUCGGGUUGUAAAGCACUUUCAGCGAGGAGGAAGGUGGUGAGCUUAAUACGCUCAUCAAUUGACGUUACUCGCAGAAGAAGCACCGGCUAACUCCGUGCCAGCAGCCGCGGUAAUACGGAGGGUGCAAGCGUUAAUCGGAAUUACUGGGCGUAAAGCGCACGCAGGCGGUUUGUUAAGUCAGAUGUGAAAUCCCCGGGCUCAACCUGGGAACUGCAUUUGAAACUGGCAAGCUAGAGUCUCGUAGAGGGGGGUAGAAUUCCAGGUGUAGCGGUGAAAUGCGUAGAGAUCUGGAGGAAUACCGGUGGCGAAGGCGGCCCCCCUGGACGAAGACUGACGCUCAGGUGCGAAAGCGUGGGGCAGCAAACAGGAUUAGAUACCCUGGUAGUCCAGCGCUGUAAACGAUGUCGAUUUGGAGGUUGUGCCCCUUGAGGCGUGGCUUCCGGAGCUAACGCGUUAAAUCGACCGCCUGGGGGAGUACGGCCGCAAGGCUAAAACUUAAAUGAAUUGACGGGGUCAUAGCUGUUUCCU
This 591-nucleotide ribosomal RNA is filed under the name uncultured bacterium. RNAcentral's name for it is "partial 16S ribosomal RNA". It matches the Rfam family "Bacterial small subunit ribosomal RNA", at positions 355 to 1375 of the family's 1533-position model. The record is from RNAcentral.